RNAcentral lists this ribosomal RNA (253 nucleotides) under uncultured bacterium. RNAcentral's name for it is "partial 16S ribosomal RNA". It matches the Rfam family "Bacterial small subunit ribosomal RNA", at positions 524 to 776 of the family's 1533-position model. The record is from RNAcentral.
CACGUAGGGCGCAAGCGUUGUCCGGAAUUAUUGGGCGUAAAGAGCUCGUAGGCGCUCUGUUGCGUCCGCUGUGAAAACUCGGGGCUUAACCCCGAGCCUGCAGUGGAUACGGGCAGACUAGAGGUAGGUAGGGGAGAAUGGAAUUCCCGGUGUAGCGGUGAAAUGCGCAGAUAUCAGGAGGAACACCGGUGGCGAAGGCGGGUCUCUGGGCCGAUAUUAACGCUGAGGAGCGAAAGCGUGGGGAGCGAACAGG